UACGGAGGAUGCGAGCGUUAUCCGGAUUUAUUGGGUUUAAAGGGUGCGUAGGCGGACUGUCAAGUCAGCGGUAAAAUUGAGAGGCUCAACCUCUUCCCGCCGUUGAAACUGGUGGUCUUGAGUGGAUGAGAAGUACGCGGAAUGCGUGGUGUAGCGGUGAAAUGCAUAGAUAUCACGCAGAACUCCGAUUGCGAAGGCAGCGUACCGGCAUCCAACUGACGCUGAGGCACGAAAGCGUGGGGAUCACACAGG
This 252-nucleotide ribosomal RNA is filed under the name uncultured bacterium. RNAcentral's name for it is "partial 16S ribosomal RNA". It matches the Rfam family "Bacterial small subunit ribosomal RNA", at positions 524 to 776 of the family's 1533-position model. The record is from RNAcentral.